This 425-nucleotide ribosomal RNA is filed under the name uncultured bacterium. RNAcentral describes it as "partial 16S ribosomal RNA". It matches the Rfam family "Bacterial small subunit ribosomal RNA", at positions 518 to 952 of the family's 1533-position model. The record is from RNAcentral.
CGGUAAUACGUAGGGGGCAAGCGUUAUCCGGAAUUAUUGGGCGUAAAGAGUACGUAGGUGGCUAUGUAAGCGCAGGGUGAAAGGCAGUGGCUUAACCAUUGUUAGCCUUGCGAACUGCAAAGCUUGAGUGCAGGAGAGGAAAGCGGAAUUCCUAGUGUAGCGGUGAAAUGCGUAGAUAUUAGGAGGAACACCAGUGGCGAAGGCGGCUUUCUGGACUGUAACUGACACUGAGGUACGAAAGCGUGGGUAGCAAACAGGAUUANAUACCCUGGUAGUCCACGCCGUAAACGAUGANCACUANGUGUCGGGGCUGUAAAGUUUCGGUGCCNCANUUACGCAAUAAGUGCUCCCCUGGGGAGUACNCACNCAGUGUGAAACUCAANGAAUUGACGGGAACCNCACANCANCGAACAUGUGNUUAAUNC